GACGAACGCUGGCGGCGUGCCUAAUACAUGCAAGUCGAGCGCGGGAAGCUUGCGGAAUCCUUCGGGGGGAAGUGAGUGGACCGAGCGGCGGACGGGUGAGUAACACGUGGGCAACCUGCCCGUAAGACGGGGAUAACCCCGGGAAACCGGGGCUAAUACCGGAUAGGUGACCUUUCUGCAUGGAGGGGUCAUGAAAGGCGGCGGAAGCCGUCGCUUACGGAGGGGCCCGCGGCGCAUUAGCUAGUUGGUGAGGGAAGGGCUCACCAAGGCGACGAUGCGUAGCCGGCCUGAGAGGGUGAACGGCCACACUGGGACUGAGACACGGCCCAGACUCCUACGGGAGGCAGCAGUAGGGAAUCUUCCGCAAUGGACGGAAGUCUGACGGAGCAACGCCGCGUGAGUGAGGAAGGCCUUCGGGUCGUAAAGCUCUGUUGUUCGUGAAGAAGGGGUUGGCCAGGAAAUGGGCCGACAUUGACGGUAGCGAACCAGAAAGCCCCGGCUAACUACGUGCCAGCAGCCGCGGUAACACGUAGGGGGCAAGCGUUGUCCGGAAUGAUUGGGCGUAAAGGGCGCGCAGGCGGCCUCUUAAGUCUGAUGUGAAAGCCCACGGCUCAACCGUGGAGGGACAUUGGAAACUGGGGGGCUUGAGUGCAGGAGAGGGGAGUGGAAUUCCACGUGUAGCGGUGAAAUGCGUAGAGAUGUGGAGGAACACCAGUGGCGAGGGCGGCUCUCUGGCCUGUGACUGACGCUGAGGCGCGAAAGCGUGGGGAGCGAACAGGAUUAGAUACCCUGGUAGUCCACGCCGUA
This 807-nucleotide ribosomal RNA is filed under the name uncultured organism. RNAcentral's name for it is "SSU rRNA". It matches the Rfam family "Bacterial small subunit ribosomal RNA", at positions 28 to 804 of the family's 1533-position model. The record is from RNAcentral.